GAUGAACGCUGGCGGUAUGCCUAACACAUGCAAGUCGUACGAGAGUUUUUAACUCUAGUGGCGGACGGGUGAGUAACACGUGAGAAUUUGCCUUUAGGAGGGGGACAACAAUUGGAAACGAAUGCUAAUACCCCAUAUGCUUUCGAGUGAAAUGGAUUUUAUCCGCCUAGAGAGAAGCUCGCGGCUGAUUAGCUUGUUGGUAAGGUAAGAGCUUACCAAGGCGACGAUCAGUAUCUGGUUUGAGAGGACGAUCAGACACACUGGAACUGAGACACGGUCCAGACUCCUACGGGAGGCAGCAGUGGGGAAUUUCCGCAAUGGGCGAAAGCCUGACGGAGCAAUACCGCGUGAGGGGAAGACCUGCCUANGGGUUGUAAACCUCUUUUUUCAGGGAGGAAUAAAUAGACGUGUACCUGAAGAAUAAGC
RNAcentral lists this ribosomal RNA (426 nucleotides) under uncultured bacterium. RNAcentral describes it as "bacterial SSU rRNA". It matches the Rfam family "Bacterial small subunit ribosomal RNA", at positions 28 to 491 of the family's 1533-position model. The record is from RNAcentral.